This 361-nucleotide unclassified non-coding RNA is filed under the name fungal sp. RNAcentral's name for it is "partial internal transcribed spacer region". The stretch from base 1 to 46 matches the Rfam family "Eukaryotic small subunit ribosomal RNA", at positions 1786 to 1831 of the family's 1831-position model. Lineage: Eukaryota; Fungi. The record is from RNAcentral.
AAGUCGUAACAAGGUUUCCGUAGGUGAACCUGCGGAAGGAUCAUCAGUAUGACUAAGUUCUACUCUUAACAAUACUCGUUUAAAUAAUGAGUAAAAAAAAACAAGUAUUUGAUAGUAAUAUAAAAAAAAUUACUUGAAAAAACUUGAUAUUUACCUAGUUUUACUAGGAUUCUUUUUUUAUUUUUUAAUUGGGACUUUUAGGAGUGUAUGAUCGUGAAAAAUUGGAUUAUACUCUUUGAUGAGAAUUUUCUCAUUAAAGAACCCAUUUAAAUGACAUUUAAUUUUUAUCAACAGGGAAACUGACGAGGUAAAAGUCGUCAAAAAUGAACAAAACUUUCGGCAAUGGAUCUCUCGGCUCUCC